UACAGAGGUCCCAAGCGUUAUUCGGAUUCACUGGGCGUAAAGGGUGCGUAGGUGGUGAGGUAAGUCGGAUGUGAAAUCUCGGAGCUCAACUCCGAAAUGGCAUUGGAAACUACCUCGCUCGAGGAUUGGAGGGGGGACUGGAAUACUUGGUGUAGCAGUGAAAUGCGUAGAUAUCAAGUGGAACACCAGUGGCGAAGGCGAGUCCCUGGACAAUUCCUGACACUGAGGCACGAAAGCGUGGGGAGCAAACAGG
RNAcentral lists this ribosomal RNA (253 nucleotides) under uncultured bacterium. RNAcentral's name for it is "partial 16S ribosomal RNA". It matches the Rfam family "Bacterial small subunit ribosomal RNA", at positions 524 to 776 of the family's 1533-position model. The record is from RNAcentral.